AAACUUGGGCUAAUACCGCAUGAGCCCUGAGGGGGAAAGCGGGGGAUCUUCGGACCUCGCGCUAAGGGGGGAGCCUACGUCUGAUUAGCUAGUUGGUAGGGUAAAGGCCUACCAAGGCGACGAUCAGUAGCUGGUCUGAGAGGACGACCAGCCACACUGGGACUGAGACACGGCCCAGACUCCUACGGGAGGCAGCAGUGGGGAAUUUUUCGCAAUGGGGGCAACCCUGACGAAGCAAUGCCGCGUGGAUGAAGAAGGCCUUCGGGUUGUAAAGUCCUUUCGUGGGGGACGAAAAGGUGGUUCCUAAUACGAGCUGCUGUUGACGUGAACCCAAGAAGAAGCACCGGCUAACUCCGUGCCAGCAGCCGCGGUAAUACGGGGGGUGCAAGCGUUAAUCGGAAUCACUGGGCGUAAAGGGUGCGUAGGCGGUACGUUAGGUCUGUCGUGAAAUCCCCGGGCUCAACCUGGGAAUGGCGGUAGAAACCGGCGCACUAGAGUAUGGGAGAGGGUGGUGGAAUUCCAGGUGUACCGGUGAAAUGCGUAGAGAUCUGGAGGAACAUCAGUGGCGAAGGCGGCCACCUGGCCCAAUACUGACGCUGAGGCACGAAAGCGUGGGGAGCAAACACGAUUAGAUAUCCUGGUAGUCCACGCCCUAAACGAUGAAUACUACAUGUUUGGUACCUAGCGUACUGAGUGUCGUAGCUAACGCGAUAAGUAUUCCGCCUGGGAAGUACGGCCGCAAGGUUAAAACUCAAAGGAAUUGACGG
Molecule: ribosomal RNA, 767 nt
Filed under: uncultured bacterium
Lineage: Bacteria
Description: bacterial SSU rRNA
Rfam family: Bacterial small subunit ribosomal RNA
Source: RNAcentral